UAGGGAAUCUUCGGCAAUGGACGGAAGNCUGGACCGAGCAACGCCACGUGAGUGAAGAAGGUUUUCGGAUCGUAAAGCUCUGUUGUAAGAGAAGAACGAGUGUGAGAGUGGAAAGUUCACACUGUGACGGUAUCUUACCAGAAAGGGACGGCUAACUACGUGCCAGCAGCCGCGNUAAUACGUAGGUCCCGAGCGUUGUCCGGAUUUAUUGGGCGUAAAGCGAGCGCAGCCGGUUAGAUAAGUCUGAAGUUAAAGGCUGUGGCUUAACCAUAGUAGGCUUUGGAAACUGUUUAACUUGAGUGCAAGAGGGGAGAGUGGAAUUCCAUGUGUAGCGGUGAAAUGCGUAGAUAUAUGGAGGAACACCGGUGGCGAAAGCGGCUCUCUGGCUUGUAACUGACGCUGAGGCUCGAAAGCGUGGGGAGCAAACAGGAUUAGAUACCCUGGUAGUCCACGCUGUAAACGAUGAGUGCUAGGUGUUAGACCCUUUCCGGGGUUUAGUGCCGUAGCUAACGCAUUAAGCACUCCGCCUGGGGAGUACGACCGCAAGGUUG
RNAcentral lists this ribosomal RNA (551 nucleotides) under uncultured bacterium. Its description in RNAcentral is "bacterial SSU rRNA". It matches the Rfam family "Bacterial small subunit ribosomal RNA", at positions 355 to 896 of the family's 1533-position model. The record is from RNAcentral.